This 253-nucleotide ribosomal RNA is filed under the name uncultured bacterium. RNAcentral's name for it is "partial 16S ribosomal RNA". It matches the Rfam family "Bacterial small subunit ribosomal RNA", at positions 524 to 776 of the family's 1533-position model. The record is from RNAcentral.
UACAGAGGGUGCAAGCGUUAAUCGGAAUUACUGGGCGUAAAGCGUGCGUAGACGGUUACAUAAGUCGGGUGUGAAAGCCCCGGGCUCAACCUGGGAAUUGCAUUCGAGACUGCGUAGCUAGGGUGCGGAAGAGGGAAGCGGAAUUUCCGGUGUAGCGGUGAAAUGCGUAGAUAUCAGGAGGAACACCGAUGGCGAAGGCAGGUCUCUGGGCUGACACUGACGCUCAUGCACGAAAGCGUGGGGAGCAAACAGG